This is a long non-coding RNA of Tripterygium wilfordii, 1478 nucleotides long. RefSeq lists it as uncharacterized. Lineage: Eukaryota; Viridiplantae; Streptophyta; Magnoliopsida; Celastrales; Celastraceae. The transcript is spliced from 2 exons. The record is from RefSeq and is a predicted model, not a curated record.
CCCCCAAUCCCAUUUUGGGGAGAGGGAUGAGUAGGUCUAAAUGUCUUUGCAUGCAUGACAGAGAGUGAGAGAUGGAAUAAUUUCCAUUGAGGAUAUAGUUUUUAAAAGUUUAUAAUUUACACACAGAUUAAGUACUCUAUUUUGUUGAUGUAUAAUUCUCAGUUUCUCCAUAAUUGUAGAGUUACGCGUUUCUUUGUAAUUUUGUGAAGCCCAUUUAUUGCAUUGCUAUAGAUGUGGCUUUGUACUUUUAGCCUGAUAAGAUUUAAAGGUCGGAUUUUUUCUUUCGACACAAAUCUUUGUUCUUUCGGUUCCUUCUUGUUCUCCCAGGGUCGUGUGAGUUAUGUGUAAGAGUAAGUGUUGACUUGGUUGGCACCACAAGUUAAAUUUUGAGAAAAAGAGAAGAAAUUGUGUCAAUUACAUUGAUGCUCAUAAGGUUGUCUAUGAACUCCAUGCCCUGUAGAUAACUAGGUGUUUAUGCAUAUAACUAGGUGUUUAUGCAUAUCAGGCUUGAAGAUGCAGGAAGGUCGUCUUGGCAUAGAGGCCUGAAAAUUUUAUUUAUUCCAAGAAAUAUUCAACUAAGUUUUCAGACUAUAAUUGCAUCAUAUUUCACUGUUAUACACAGUUCCUGAAAGUUAACAGGUAAUCUGCGAGGAUACAUACACAGGAUACAAAAGAUGGGUUUUUCAUUCCAUGAAGGAGAGACUGAUGUUGAUGAGAUGGAACGGUUCUCGUGGUUGGGUUCUGUUGGAGCCGGCACUCGGAGAUUGGCUUGGCUUUAAUGUCUUUCUCAAUCUUGGUUUUGGUGUAUGGGGCUCCAUUACAAAUUGACAAGUGGUCCAGUUCCUAGUAUGUGUUGGACCGCAGCUACAGCAAAUUCAGAUUGGGACUUGUCGUUGCUUAUGGAGUCCUUUGGGUCCUGGUCCUGAUCCUUUGGGCAACCUAAAAGAAAGGACAAGGAGCUAUUGAUUAACGUACAAAAGAUGAACUGUGAAGUUUUCUUCUAGUUUGACAAAAUCUCACACAACGGGUCUGUUUGAGAGUGUUGUGUUUUGACCUCUUUGCGGAUGACGAAAAGUGUUUGGGGCGAAACAUGGUGCUGCGAAACCGUAACGUACAUCUCGGGCAAGUGCUUUUUUUUUUUCCAAAUGCGAUGCCUUCAAGCCAAAAAAAUAGUGCAUUUGGCAGGUGUAAAUACACUGCAAACGCACCGACCAUGGAUUUGUGCUGUAUCUCAGUUUGUAACGGAAUGCCCAUCUGGACGGCUACUGCUGGUGUCAUCUUCUGCGCAAUGUUUUUUAUUGUUUGUUAUGACAUGUAGCCCUGAUGUAUGGUCUUGGACAAUGCACAAGACUCACCUGGAACUUGUGCCAGAAAUCUAGCAGAACCAGUUUCAGGGUAACAUGUACCUUUUGGACAUAACCAGAGCUGCAAAAACAUUUGUUGUUCAAAACAGUUGGUUCCACUUAUUCAAGGAUCAA